AGUAGGGAAGAAGUUAGGGUCACACUUUUUCUCUUCCCCAG
Molecule: microRNA precursor, 41 nt
Filed under: Macaca fascicularis (crab-eating macaque)
Lineage: Eukaryota; Metazoa; Chordata; Mammalia; Primates; Cercopithecidae
Description: microRNA 6832
Source: RNAcentral